AUAGAUACCCAGGUAGUCCACGCCGUAAACGAUGAGUGCUAAGUGUUAGAGGGUUUCCGCCCUUUAGUGCUGAAGUUAACGCAUUAAGCACUCCGCCUGGGGAGUACGGCCGCAAGGCUGAAACUCAAAGGAAUUGACGGGGGCCCGCACAAGCGGUGGAGCAUGUGGUUUAAUUCGAAGCAACGCGAAGAACCUUACCAGGUCUUGACAUCCUCUGAAAACCCUAGAGAUAGGGCUUCUCCUUCGGGAGCAGAGUGACAGGUGGUGCAUGGUUGUCGUCAGCUCGUGUCGUGAGAUGUUGGGUUAAGUCCCGCAACGAGCGCAACCCUUGAUCUUAGUUGCCAUCAUUUAGUUGGGCACUCUAAGGUGACUGCCGGUGGCAAACCGGAGGAAGGUGGGGAUGACGUCAAAUCAUCAUGCCCCUUAUGACCUGGGCUACACACGUGCUACAAUGGACGGUACAAAGAGUCGCUAAACUCGCGAGAGCACGCUAAUCUCAUAAAACCGUUCUCAGUUCGGAUUGUAGGCUGCAACC
RNAcentral lists this ribosomal RNA (535 nucleotides) under uncultured bacterium. Its description in RNAcentral is "bacterial SSU rRNA". It matches the Rfam family "Bacterial small subunit ribosomal RNA", at positions 778 to 1312 of the family's 1533-position model. The record is from RNAcentral.